Molecule: ribosomal RNA, 253 nt
Filed under: uncultured bacterium
Lineage: Bacteria
Description: partial 16S ribosomal RNA
Rfam family: Bacterial small subunit ribosomal RNA
Source: RNAcentral
UACGGGGGGGGCGAGCGUUGUUCGGAAUUACUGGGCGUAAAGGGUUUGUAGGUGGUCUGCUAAGUCAGACGUGAAAUCCCUCAGCUUAACUGGGGAACUGCGUCUGAUACUGGCGGACUUGAGGACAGGAGAGGAACGCGGAAUUCCAGGUGUAGCGGUGAAAUGCGCAGAUAUCAGGAGGAACACCGAUGGCGAAGGCAGCUCGCUGGGACGGUACUGACGCUGAGACGCGAAAGCGUGGGGAGCAAACAGG